ACAUCGGUAGCUCAAUUGGAUAGAGCGCCUGAUUACGAAUCAGAAGGUUAAAGGUUCAAGUCCUUUCCGAUGUGCCA
This 77-nucleotide transfer RNA is filed under the name Robiginitomaculum sp. Its description in RNAcentral is "tRNA-Arg". It matches the Rfam family "tRNA". From Rfam's summary of the family: Transfer RNA (tRNA) molecules are approximately 80 nucleotides in length. The record is from RNAcentral. Lineage: Bacteria; Pseudomonadati; Pseudomonadota; Alphaproteobacteria; Maricaulales; Robiginitomaculaceae.